GGCUGCAGUGGCACCUGCUAUAUGAGGCUGAGAGGAGAGGCUGCUCAGACGCAGAGAGCCCAGUUGAAAUCUACCCACACUUGCUAUUAAAUCACAAGCCGUCCACACAAAGAACAAAAUCCAACCAACAGCUACGGGCUCUGCCCAAAUUUCAGCUGUCACAGAAUGAGUGAUCCUCAUAGUAUAAUGGAAAUGCAUCAUCUCAGUUUCCCCAUGGCCUGAAUGUCCAUACAAAAUGAGAGCCAGUAGAGAAAAACAGAGGACGUGAGGAGUUUUUAAAAAUUGAGGAAAAGUGGAAGGAAAAGUAAGGAUGAAGGUGAAGAUGAAGGAAUAUGUCAGAGAUGCUAGCACUGGCAUCCCCCACCACACAGUACCAUGUACUGCUAAAGAACUCUAGAACAUACAGGGUGUAGACGGCAGUCUUCUUGGGGAAAAAGAGGCUUCAGGAUUGCAAGAUUUCAGCUACUGUCUCUCCUCGGAGCAGGAUUCCAUCUUUUCCAUGGCUGGGGCCCUUGACACAUGUCACUGUGCACUGCUCUUCUCGCUGGGAUUUCCAAAAGACCUUGGCUCAGGUGUCACUUUUGCAGAAAAGCAUUUACUGACUGUUGACUUGGCCAAAUCCCUGUGCUGUGUUUCCUAGUACGGUAAAUCAACUGUAUCCAGUAGUGGGACAGAUGCAGCAUGAAAGAAGAAAGUUACAAUUGCUUUAUCUGAUGCUGUCACUCAUGCCUGGUGUUGAGAGGCGCACAUUUUAAAAAGUCUAAUAGCUCCGACAUAUCUAGGAAACAGAUGGGAAACAAAUGAAGCAUUGAUGGAUUCGCAAAUUCCAGUUCUUUGAUAUUUGUCUGCCCAGGAAUGGGUGGGACAGAGAAAUGUAAGGGAAUAAUGAGGAUACGGGUGGGGAAAGGCUUGCAAUUUUUCCCGUUCUUCUUUGGAUAUGGACUGAAGGAAGGAUGUGGGGAGGAGGUGUUUAUCUUUUGCUUGUACUCUGAACUUUUCCAAAGUUACUGCAUUCCUUGGGAUAUAAAACUGUAAUCAAGAGUCUCUAAUGGAUAACUGCAAUUAUGCAUUGAGUCAUUCAACAAAUACACAUUAAUACUGACUAAAUUAAGCUCGAAUGGAACUUCAGGGCAAAAGAACAGAGAAAAUAAAAUACCACUAGAGAAGGGAUCUGUGCUCUUUCCUGGACUUAAAUCUCCCACAGCCAGCACGUUUGACAGUUAAACUAGUCAAGCAAAUUAGCACAGGCCCAGAGGAUGAAAUCAAGGUGGGGGCAGGUAAGGUUCACAUAAUAAACACUCUCCCUAGACCCUGGACCUAGGGACAAUACUUCAGGAAGAAUUUUUUUUAUUAAUCUCAUUUAUUCAUUCAUGUAUUCACCAAGUAGUUAUUGAAUACCUCCAUGUGCCAGUCACCUUCAUAGGCUCUGGGAACACAGAGACAAAUGGGGUGCAGCUUUUGCCUUCGAGGACCGCCUGAUAAUGGAGGAGCAUGCUUGUUGUACUGUCCCCACACUUCUUUUUUUUUUAAUUUUACUUUAUGUUCCCGGAUACAUGUGCAGAACUUGCAGGUUUGUUACACGGUAUACGUGUGCCAUGGUGGUUUGCUGCACCUUUUAACCUGUCAUCUAAGUUCUCUCCCCUCGCCUCCCGCCCCCCAACAGGCCCCGGUGUGUUUUUGUUCUUCUCCCUGUGUCCAUGUGUUCUCAUUGUUCAAGCCCCAACUUAUGAGUGAGAACAUGUGGUGUUUGGUUUUCUGUUCCUGUAUUAGUUUGCUGAGGAUGACGACUUUCAGCUCCAUCCAUGUGCCUGCAAAGGACAUGAUCUUGUCCCUUUUUAUGGCUGCAUAGUACGCCCCCUGCACUUCUAAUAAAGAUGGCGCCAGGAAGGAAAGCCCAGUUUGCCUCAUUCCAGAAUGCCCCAACUUCUGCCAAAGAGGAGGUUUCCUCCAUUCACCUGUCCAUUUGGAACACAAUGAAAAUACAGAAUAUGCAGAAUAUGCAGAAAAUACAGAAUAUACAGAAAUAGAUGUAUAUGAAUAUACAUCUAUUUAAGAAAAAUUCACAAGGCCCCAAACUACUCUAGCUUUCCUAGGAAGUAGAGAAGACCCCCUCAAAAAAAAACACUGGCAAACUGAGCCUGCUAUUGGGGAAGGAAAUUCAAGACCAGGAAGGUCAGGACAUGUAUUCAUUAAAUGGCUAUAACACCUCAAUCCAAAUGCAGAGAAAUCUGAUGUACACGCUCCAAGAUAAGCAUCUCUAAGGUACAGUCAGUGGUCAAUUUUUCAACAUUUAUUUAAUAUCUUGCUAUAUUUAUGGCAUCGUGAAAUAGAUGCUGUAUUCCUUCUCUGAAAAUUUUCAAUUGAGGUGGGGACAUGAAUAAAUGUAUUAACCCAUUUAUGCCGGAGGUUGCAAUUUUUGUUUUCUGAAAAAUCAGACCUUGGUGAUGACCUUGAGCGGUAGGAUAUAAAAACUCCCAAAAGCCUAGCGUUUUAAUAAUGGAACACUAGGCAUAAGUAGCUUAAAACAGCAUAGAAAAGUCAUGUAAACUAUACAACAGUCAUGUAGAUAUGGUGCAUAUGGAGACACAGGGUUCCUGGGAAGGGCAAACCAUGGUACAGAGUUUACCAGGGAAGAGUUCCUAGGAGAAAUGAGCUUGGAACUGGAUGUUGGAAGAUCAUCACCAUGUGUGGUGGGGCAAGUCUUCAGCCAAACUUCCCUGGGGCUUUUUUUACUCAUCAAAAAAUGAGUACAAUGCACACAGAUUACAUGAAUUUUGUAAGGAUAAAAUAUGACAACAUUAGUAUGGCAUCCAUGCACAUAGGAGGCACUAAUGAAUAUCACAUUCCUUUCCCUUUUCUAUUUUAUGCUUUCCAUACUUGAUAUUAUUUAAUGAUAGAAAUGUUGAUGAAAAUAAGGAAUAGUACACCUCUCACACUUUCUAUAUUGAGCAUGCAUUACUCUUAACACAGAAAAAAUAAAGCACAAGAUUAAAAUAGUGUUUUAUUUGUAGAGUUUUGGUCUGAAAGAAGUUAACAGGUCCUUAGUAGUCACUUCACAGCAGAAAAUCAAAUGAGGGCUUCCCAGCCACACAGAAAUGUUAUUUUAAUCUGAUGUUCAGUGCCCUUCAGUUGCUAGUUAGACCCGCUUAGACUGAAACAGAUGCCACAAAUGCAAUGCUAUGUUCACCACCCAGUCGCUUUCCAAACACAGGGUAAGGAUUCAGGUC
RNAcentral lists this long non-coding RNA (3227 nucleotides) under Homo sapiens (human). RNAcentral's name for it is "HSALNT0134813". The record is from RNAcentral. Lineage: Eukaryota; Metazoa; Chordata; Mammalia; Primates; Hominidae.